This 253-nucleotide ribosomal RNA is filed under the name uncultured bacterium. RNAcentral's name for it is "partial 16S ribosomal RNA". It matches the Rfam family "Bacterial small subunit ribosomal RNA", at positions 524 to 776 of the family's 1533-position model. The record is from RNAcentral.
UACGAAGGGGGCUAGCGUUGCUCGGAAUGACUGGGCGUAAAGGGCGCGUAGGCGGCUCAUACAGUCAGAUGUGAAAUUCCUGGGCUUAACCUGGGGGCUGCAUUUGAUACGUGUGGGCUUGAGUGGGGAAGAGGGUCGUGGAAUUCCCAGUGUAGAGGUGAAAUUCGUAGAUAUUGGGAAGAACACCGGUGGCGAAGGCGGCGACCUGGUCCUUGACUGACGCUGAGGCGCGAAAGCGUGGGGGGCAAACAGG